AUACUGGCAAAUAUCUUCUGCACUCUCUUUAUUGCGACUAGAACAGUACACAGUACUCCAGCUGUGAAAGGCUUUAAAAGCUAUAAUUGAUUUAAAAAAAAUUACAGAUUUCCAUGACAUUGAGAAACUAAAACAUUGACUUAAAAUUACAAUUUAAAAAUGUUAAGGUGAGAUAAUUGAAAAAAACAAGUAAUUCAUCCUCCCUUUUGCUUACCUAAUUCUUUGUCUUGUAUGCACUACUGAAGUUAACGGCAGACCUACAGAUUCAACCUACUAUCAUCAGGCCAAUAACUCCCAUGUAAUACGGCACAGUGCAGACUUUCAGGACACACAGCAACUUCAACAACCCAACGCCAGUCAGCAAAAAUCAGCAAGAUCAGUCCCAAAAUGUAUCUCAAGAAAGCUCUUUCCAGCCCUGUCCAUCGGAUGUAAAGUGAACAAGAUUUACCAGCUAAGGAUCUACCUCUCUUUAUGAAGCAUCACAGCAUGGUUUGGGAACAGCUCCAUCCAAGACCGCAAUAAAUUGCAAAGAAUUGUGGAAACAGCCCAGACCAUCACACAAACUAGCCUCCCUUCCAUUGACUCAAUUUACACCUCUCGCUGCCUCGGCAAGACCAGCAGAAUUAAGGAUAAGUUGCACUGACCACUCCCUCUUCUCCCCUCUCACAUUGGGCAAAAGAGUAAAAAAUGCACAUCUGUUUCUUCCCAGCUGUUAUCAGGCAACUGAACCAUCCUAUCACAACUAGAGAGUAGUCCUGAACUACCUGUGAGCGGACUUUACUGGAUUUAUCUUGCACCAAACGCUAUUCACGUUAUUCCCUUUAUCAUGUACCUGCACACUGUGGAUGGCUUGAUUGUAAUUAUGUAUUGUCUUUCCGCUGACUGGUUACCAGGCAACAAAAGCUUUUCACUGUACCUCGGUCCACAUGAUAAUAAACUAAACUAAACUAAGCUUAACUGAACUAAACAAAAUUGUUCCCAUCCCUAUAUUUUUCAAUCUAUUUGGUGCUAAUCCUUACUGAUCAAAUAUCUUAUGAAAAAUAAUGAACAUAAUGCAUUUACCAUGUCAUGGUGAAAAUAAGGAUAAUCAUCACUCUCAAAUCUGCUACUUUAGAUAUACUGGAGAUAUUUAGGGCACAGAGUUUUUGUCUGAAGCAGAUAUUUAAUUGCAGCUGCUGCAAGAGCAGACCAGAGACUGCAAUGUGAUUGCGUUAUAUGUUGAUGAUGUAAAAAAGGUGGGUGUGGGCGUUGGAGUAGAGAUAAGUGUGUGAGAAUACAGAGGGAUGUAUAAAUGUUAGUUUAGAGUGAUGAUUGAACAAUCUUGCUGUUAGAUAGUGGUAGAGGAACAUGCAGGGAGCAGCGCUGUGGUA
Molecule: long non-coding RNA, 1370 nt
Organism: Leucoraja erinaceus (little skate)
Lineage: Eukaryota; Metazoa; Chordata; Chondrichthyes; Rajiformes; Rajidae
Exons: 3
Source: RefSeq, a predicted model, not a curated record